GAUUGUUGCAAAGAAUUCCCGAUAGGGCCCACAGGCGUGGGUUUGCCUUGUAACCGAAAACUUUUAGGGGGAAAAUUUUUAUG
RNAcentral lists this small RNA (83 nucleotides) under Lacticaseibacillus thailandensis. Its description in RNAcentral is "Lactobacillus thailandensis SAM-III sequence". It matches the Rfam family "SAM-III riboswitch aptamer (SMK box)". Lineage: Bacteria; Bacillati; Bacillota; Bacilli; Lactobacillales; Lactobacillaceae. RNAcentral also lists the same sequence under 1 other name. The record is from RNAcentral.